This 257-nucleotide ribosomal RNA is filed under the name uncultured bacterium. RNAcentral's name for it is "partial 16S ribosomal RNA". It matches the Rfam family "Archaeal small subunit ribosomal RNA", at positions 474 to 728 of the family's 1478-position model. The record is from RNAcentral.
UACCAGCACCCCGAGUGGUCGGGACGUUUUAUUGGGCCUAAAGCAUCCGUAGCCGGUUCUACAAGUCUUCCGUUAAAUCCAACUGCUUAACAGGUGGGCUGCGGAAGAUACUAUAGAGCUAGGAGGCGGGAGAGGCAAGCGGUACUCGAUGGGUAGGGGUAAAAUCCGUUGAUCCAUUGAAGACCACCAGUGGCGAAGGCGGCUUGCCAGAACGCGCUCGACGGGUGAGGGAUGAAGGCUGGGGGGAGCAAACCGGG